Molecule: ribosomal RNA, 576 nt
Filed under: uncultured bacterium
Lineage: Bacteria
Description: bacterial SSU rRNA
Rfam family: Bacterial small subunit ribosomal RNA
Source: RNAcentral
ACGGGUGAGUAACACGUGGGUAACCUGCCUCAUAGAGGGGAAUAGCCUUUCGAAAGGAAGAUUAAUACCGCAUAAGAUUGUAGUACCGCAUGGUACAGCAAUUAAAGGAGUAAUCCGCUAUGAGAUGGACCCGCGUCGCAUUAGCUAGUUGGUGAGGUAACGGCUCACCAAGGCGACGAUGCGUAGCCGACCUGAGAGGGUGAUCGGCCACAUUGGGACUGAGACACGGCCCAGACUCCUACGGGAGGCAGCAGUGGGGAAUAUUGCACAAUGGGGGAAACCCUGAUGCAGCAACGCCGCGUGAGUGAUGACGGUCUUCGGAUUGUAAAGCUCUGUCUUCAGGGACGAUAAUGACGGUACCUGAGGAGGAAGCCACGGCUAACUACGUGCCAGCAGCCGCGGUAAUACGUAGGUGGCAAGCGUUGUCCGGAUUUACUGGGCGUAAAGGGAGCGUAGGUGGAUAUUUAAGUGGGAUGUGAAAUACUCGGGCUUAACCUGGGUGCUGCAUUCCAAACUGGAUAUCUAGAGUGCAGGAGAGGAAAGUAGAAUUCCUAGUGUAGCGGUGAAAUGCGUAGA